Molecule: long non-coding RNA, 2388 nt
Filed under: Heterocephalus glaber (naked mole-rat)
Lineage: Eukaryota; Metazoa; Chordata; Mammalia; Rodentia; Bathyergidae
Description: lncRNA (ENSHGLG00000046194.1)
Source: RNAcentral
AAACAAUUAGGUCUGAGAGACUUCCUUAGCAAUCUACAAUGCCUUCCUCCUCUACACCGAGGCAGUGCUUGCGCAGUUUUGAGAGAGGGUCCUGCGGAAAGCCCAGGCCAGUUCUCGCGGCCUCUGGGCUGGACCAGGCUCUGCUCUGAGCGCGCUGCUCGGCGGCCCCGCGGGCGAGCCUACCGCUUCCCACGGCGACUCGGGCUCCAGCGCCAGGCGCUGGCGCGGACCCGCUUCCGUUCCGGGAGAGCGAGGGGCCCGAAACUUCACCUUCGCCCUGGACCUCAGAACACCGACCCGAGGCCGAAGCAAAGCCCCCGCCCCGCGCCAGUCCCGGGCGGCGGAGGCGAAGCCCACCGAGCCUAGAGAGAGCGAAGCCGCCCCCUGCUGGCCAGAUGAGGCAGGCGCGGCCAACAGCUCCGCUCCCCUCCGUCCCGCCGGCGCGCCUGCCCGGACCCAGCGCGACCCUCCUGUGCCCCCAGCGAGGGGGACGUGUUCAAAGAAACAGAAAACAAAACAAAAACAAACCAAGGGCCAAAACCACUCUCACCUCGUUUGCUGCUCAAAGUGAUCAGAGAACAAAGGAAUCCUUGAAGAAAGUGAGACUCAAAGCAUCGCAGGAUAUAUGAUUUCUGAUUCUUUGUUCAGAAAACAAGGGCAUCCAUGCCAGCCAGUGCUUCGAUGGUGAGAAAAUUACUCUGCUUCAUGAAGAGCCAUUCAGCAGGAUACUGGCAGUCCACUUUCUCGUGUUAAUUAUUUCUGCCCUGAUUGCCUGGCAACACAUAACAUGGAAAGCAUUAUACUUUGCUAUUUGUGAAUUCCAGCUGAAUGCAGGAAGAAAAUGGAAUACAAAGUCAGCUGGAGAUGCAACUUAAUAAGUUAGAAUAAUUUCCUUCCUCAUUUAGGACAUGGUCUGAAAGAAUAGAAGAUGGUGGUCAUUCUUCAACAGUUUGACAGCCUACACUGCUUCAGAUGUGGCAAAGUUUAUUUCAAAAAGUAAAAGUCAAGAAUGACAGAGAAACUGGCUCUACAGAGUGAGCCAGGUGAAAGAGGAAAAAAGCAAGAUAAAAGCACACCCUGGAGAAAGCAGGGCUGGAUACCAUGAAGAAAGCCAUGAUAGUCUUAUUUUGUUUUCAUUUCCUGUGAAGCCCUAUUCAUCUCCUUUGUUCAUUUUACUUGUUGUGUUUUUUGAUGUUUAUCUAUUUGUACAUGAAUUUGGUAAUUUAGAUAUAAGCUUUUUGUUUAUUCAUAGGCAUUGCAAAUAUCUUCUCAAUGUGUACUUGUGUUUUAAAUUUUUCUAUUGUUAUGCAUAUGUUUUAAAUUUAAGUGUAAUUAAGAAUAUUUUUUCUUGUAUGUUUUAGACUUUCAGAAUGAGCAAAAUCACAUCCUAAAAAUAUCCUAUACUUUCUUCUUCUAAAACUUUAGAUUUAAUUUUCACAGGUAAAUUUUCAGUUCACUUUAGAUUUUUAUAAAAUGUAUUUUUAAAAUUUACGUGAGCUAAAAUUCCUAUUUCUUUUCUUUUCCUUCUCCCCAUUCCCAACCAGUUUUGUGAGAUUUAACAGUUACAUAGCUUUACAGGAACACUAUCACAGUCAAAAUACAGAACACUUUGAUGAAGGGAAAGUUUCCCUUAGAUUGCCCCUGGGCAAACUCCCUGCCCUAAAUCCUGGCAACCACUGAUUUGUUCUGUAUCCCUAUAGAUUUUUUUUGGUUGUUUGUUUUGUAUCAGAUACUGGGGAUUGAAGCCAGGCCUUCAUGUACUGAGCUACCUCCCCAGUCUCCUCAGUUCCUAAUUUCCCAGUCUGGGGUUGAAUGCUAGAUCCUUUUGCUCAGCCUCAAUACUGGGAUUACAGCUAUGUGCCUCUAUGCUGGGUUACCUUAUAGUUUGUUUUUGCUUUUUUACUUUUUAAAGUAAAUCAUAGACAUAGAAUCAUAAAAUAUGUAAUCUUUGAAAUUACUUUCUUUUACUUGGCAUAAGAUGUUGCUUGUACUGCAUUAGUAAUUCCAUUUUAAAAAAUUUAUUGAAUAGCAUUUUAUUAUAGGGACAUACCACAGUUAUUUAUCCACUAAACUAUUACAAGAUAUUUAGGUCAUUUCCAGUUUUUGUUGACUAUAAAUGUGCUGCUGUAAGUGUUCUUGAACAGGUUUGUGUGAACAUAUGGUUUCAUCUCUAGAGGGCAAAUUCCAAAGAUAAAUGCUUGUUUUACUUUGUAAGAAUCUGUCACAGAGUGUUUCAGAGUGACUAUUGUCAUUUUUGCAAUGUAGAAAGAUGCUAGUCACUCUGUAUUCUUGCCAGCCUUAGAUAUUACUAUUACCAUUAUGAUGAUGAUGAUGAUGAUGAUGAUGAUGAUGAUGAUGAUGAUGAUGAUUGCUCUUUAGCCAUCCCAG